Long non-coding RNA from Coffea eugenioides, 494 nucleotides. RefSeq lists it as uncharacterized. NCBI's taxonomy places the organism in Eukaryota, Viridiplantae, Streptophyta, Magnoliopsida, Gentianales, Rubiaceae. The transcript is spliced from 3 exons. The record is from RefSeq and is a predicted model, not a curated record.
GCAUAAAACACAAGAAUCUCUCGGCCGCUUCUUUCUUCCGCCGUCUCUUCUCCAGAUCUUUCCACCAUCUUCGUUUCUCUCUCUCUGUUCCUUUAAUCAUCCUUUUCUUCCAUAUUUUUUUUCGUGCAUUCUUGUUCUCGUCAGAUCUUACCGUCUCUUCUUGUCAGAUCUUGCAUUUUUUUUUUUGAAAAUAGACAACGAGUACACUAUCUGUUCUUGUCGGAUCUUUUUUUUUUGUUGCUUUUUUUCCCUUUUCUGAUUGCUACUACUAUUUUGUUGUUUAUGAGGAUUAUGUUAUUCUUUUUAAUUUUUAGAUUUUUUAUUUCUGUAGCUUGGAUGAGCCCGUGAGGUGGGGUUUCAAAGAUUUCCACUUUAUUGAUGCAAGAAUUGGAUGUUGGGUACUAGCACUUGAAGAUAUAUGCUUUAGAUUGAUCCUUUUACGUGCGAGGUCUGAUAGGAGUUUCUUCCGUCAGGUUGAGCAAUGUAUAAAUGAG